UACGUAAGGGGCGAGCGUUACUCGGAAUUACUGGGUGUAAAGGGCGUGCAGGCGGCCUUUUAAGUCGAAUGUAAAAUACUACGGCUCAACCGUGGGGAUGCGUUCGAAACUGGGAGGCUUGAGUCUGGUGGAGGGUAAUGGAAUUCCCGGUGUAGCGGUGAAAUGCGUAGAGAUCGGGAAGAACACCGAAGGCGCAAGCAGUUAUCUAUGCCAAGACUGACGCUGAGGCGCGAAAGCAUGGGGAU
Molecule: ribosomal RNA, 245 nt
Filed under: uncultured bacterium
Lineage: Bacteria
Description: partial 16S ribosomal RNA
Rfam family: Bacterial small subunit ribosomal RNA
Source: RNAcentral